RNAcentral lists this ribosomal RNA (227 nucleotides) under uncultured bacterium. RNAcentral describes it as "partial 16S ribosomal RNA". It matches the Rfam family "Bacterial small subunit ribosomal RNA", at positions 585 to 810 of the family's 1533-position model. The record is from RNAcentral.
AAGUCAGUUGUGAAAGCCUUCCGCUUAACGGAAGAACGGCAUCUGAUACUACAGGGCUUGAGUACGGGAGGGGAGAGUGGAACUUCUGGUGGAGCGGUGAAAUGCGUAGAUAUCAGAAGGAACGCCGGCGGCGAAAGCGACUCUCUGGUCCGAAACUGACGCUGAGUGUGCGAAAGCUAGGGGAGCAAACGGGAUUAGAUACCCCGGUAGUCCUAGCCGUAAACGAU